AUUGAACGCUGGCGGCAGGCCUAACACAUGCAAGUCGAACGAGUGGCGGACGGGUGAGUAAUGUCUGGGAAACUGCCUGAUGGAGGGGGAUAACUACUGGAAACGGUAGCUAAUACCGCAUACCAUCGGAUGUGCCCAGAUGGGAUUAGCUUGUUGGUGGGGUAACGGCUCACCAAGGCGACGAUCCCUAGCUGGUCUGAGAGGAUGAUCAGUCAAACUGGAACUGAGACACGGUCCAGACUCCUACGUGAGGCAGCCGUGGGGAAUAUUGGACAAUGGGCGAAAGCCUGAUCCAGCCAUGCCGCGUGUGUGAAGAAGGUCUUCGGAUUGUAAAGCACUUUAAGUUGGGCGGCGUUACCAUCAGAAUAAGCACCGGCUAACUUCGUGCCAGCAGCCGCGGUAAUAC
RNAcentral lists this ribosomal RNA (406 nucleotides) under uncultured bacterium. Its description in RNAcentral is "partial 16S ribosomal RNA". It matches the Rfam family "Bacterial small subunit ribosomal RNA", at positions 30 to 526 of the family's 1533-position model. The record is from RNAcentral.